This 433-nucleotide ribosomal RNA is filed under the name uncultured bacterium. RNAcentral describes it as "partial 16S ribosomal RNA". It matches the Rfam family "Bacterial small subunit ribosomal RNA", at positions 29 to 507 of the family's 1533-position model. The record is from RNAcentral.
AACGAACGCUGGCGGCAGGCCUAACACAUGCAAGUCGAGCGAGGACUUCGGUUCUAGCGGCGGACGGGUGAGUAACGCGUGGGAAUGUGCCCUUCUCUACGGAAUAGCCCUGGGAAACUGGGAGUAAUACCGUAUACGCCCUAUUGGGGAAAGAUUCAUCGGAGAAGGAUCAGCCCGCGUUGGAUUAGGUAGUUGGUGGGGUAAUGGCCUACCAAGCAGACGAUCCAUAGCUGGUUUGAGAGGAUGAUCAGCCACACUGGGACUGAGACACGGCCCAGACUCCUACGGGAGGCAGCAGUGGGGAAUCUUAGACAAUGGGGGCAACCCUGAUCUAGCCAGGCCGCGUGAGUGAUGAAGGCCUUAGGGUUGUAAAGCUCUUUCAGCUGGGAAGAUAAUGACGGUACCAGCAGAAGAAGCCCCGGCUAACUCCGUG